GGAUUAUGAUAUGGUCCCUUAAAGUGAGGGCUCAUACGUCAGCUGAUAAGGUCCUUCAGGAACAAGACAUCACUUCUGGUCAUGAAUAUACCACCAGGAGAAAACAGAUACUUCAUCAAGGCUUCAAGCGGACGCACUGUGCCAGCAAGAUACACUUAAGAGGCCAUACCAGUCGGGGAGCAACUCCGAUUCACGAUUUUCCUGAUUCUAGAUGGCGCCACGCUCGCCGUCCUUAUCACGCCGUUCGCCUCCGACUCACGAAAUAAUCCUCAUUGUGCAUGGUUGACCUCGCUAGUUUAAGGUGGCCCGCGCCCUCUGCGUUGUUUGUCGAGUGGUAAAGUGUCGGACUUUGUCACGAAAGGUCCGCAGUUCGAUUCGAGACAUUCACGUCUUUUUGCUUGUCUCCUAUUGCUACAUGAGUACUUUAUUUUUUUCUUCUUAUAUAUUCAUGCUACAAUUAUUAUUUUCACAAGUCACUAGCGCCUGUACUGCCUGAUUAUGGAAUUUUUAGUUGCUCUUCGUAUUGUUUUACUAGUGCAUACUUACUGUAUGCCGACGUACAAGUGUGAUCGGAUAGUACUGAUGCCGGUAUCUCGGAGGCUCUCAAUUGGAUCUACCAGCGGCUGUAAAUUAGGCUAUAAACAUUGCCUACACACAGCGCUUACAAUGCCAGUCUGGAGAAUCUAGUGCUUGAAACGAUAUUCUUUUUUUUUGCACUCGCUUACAUAAUAAUAAUAAU
Long non-coding RNA from Ornithodoros turicata, 739 nucleotides. RefSeq lists it as uncharacterized. The transcript is spliced from 3 exons. The record is from RefSeq and is a predicted model, not a curated record. NCBI's taxonomy places the organism in Eukaryota, Metazoa, Arthropoda, Arachnida, Ixodida, Argasidae.